CAUCCCGUCCGCGUCUCUUCAAUUGUUGGAUCGAGUAAUUGCUCGUCCGAUGUCGGUUUUCCUGUGCUGAAUACCUAUUGCGAGGGCAUUGUGUUGGCUACCAUCGUCUCAUUCCCGUCCCGUGCUGCUUCCCCUCGUGGGCUGGUGGUGCGGGGUGGGCCAAAUAGCACGCGUCGUGUCUCGCGCCCCGUUUGCCCGUUAAAUGGCAUUCGGAUCGAUGAACCACGACGUGUCGCUCGGUCUCUCGGGUACGGAACAUCAUGUGGGUACGGGGCCCUCGGCCUUGGAGCACCACAAACAAGCGUUCUACGCUUCGUGCGAACGACCGUCAGCUCGGUCUCCUG
This 344-nucleotide unclassified non-coding RNA is filed under the name Meehania fargesii var. pedunculata. Its description in RNAcentral is "external transcribed spacer". The record is from RNAcentral. Lineage: Eukaryota; Viridiplantae; Streptophyta; Magnoliopsida; Lamiales; Lamiaceae.